RNAcentral lists this ribosomal RNA (494 nucleotides) under uncultured bacterium. Its description in RNAcentral is "partial 16S ribosomal RNA". It matches the Rfam family "Bacterial small subunit ribosomal RNA", at positions 28 to 507 of the family's 1533-position model. The record is from RNAcentral.
GACGAACGCUGGCGGCGCGCUUAACACAUGCAAGUCGAACGGAAAGGCCUGCUUUCCCUUGUGGAUUGCGGGUACUCGAGUGGCGAACGGGUGAGUAACACGUGAGUGAUCUGCCCCCAACUUGGGUAUAAGCCUGGGAAACUGGGUCUAAUUCCCGAUAGGACUGCAGGGUGGUGCCUGUGGUGGAAAACGAUUUUCUAGUGGUUGGGGAUGAGCUCGCGGCCUAUCAGCUUGUUGGUGGGGUAAUGGCCUACCAAGGCGGCGACGGGUAGCCGGCCGGGGGGGGGGGGCGGCAACAUGGGGACGGGGAACCGGCCAGGACGCCGCGGGGGGGCGGCGGGGGGGAGUAGUCACAAUGGGCGGGAGCCUGAGGGCCGCGCCGCGGGGGGGGGAAUUCCGCCUUUCGUGUGUGAACCUUUUUGAGCCGGGGAGGAAGCCCCUUGGGUGGAGGGGGGGUGAGGGUAGUGUAAAAAAAAGCCCCGGCUAACUACGUC